UACGGAGGAUCCAAGCGUUAUCCGGAUUUAUUGGGUUUAAAGGGUGCGUAGGCGGCUUAUUAAGUCAGGGGUGAAAGACGGUGGCUCAACCAUCGCAGUGCCUUUGAUACUGAUGAGCUUGAAUACACUAGAGGUAGGCGGAAUGUGACAAGUAGCGGUGAAAUGCAUAGAUAUGUCACAGAACACCGAUUGCGAAGGCAGCUUACUAUGGUGUGAUUGACGCUGAGGCACGAAAGCGUGGGGAUCAAACAGG
RNAcentral lists this ribosomal RNA (253 nucleotides) under uncultured bacterium. RNAcentral describes it as "partial 16S ribosomal RNA". It matches the Rfam family "Bacterial small subunit ribosomal RNA", at positions 524 to 776 of the family's 1533-position model. The record is from RNAcentral.